RNAcentral lists this ribosomal RNA (3996 nucleotides) under Triticum aestivum (bread wheat). RNAcentral describes it as "partial small subunit ribosomal RNA". Lineage: Eukaryota; Viridiplantae; Streptophyta; Magnoliopsida; Poales; Poaceae. The record is from RNAcentral.
AUGGGGGCGGCGGAGGCGCCGGCCCUGGCGGCCGCGCCCGCCGCGGGGGGCGGGGGCGAGCUGCUGGAGCGGAGGGUGAUGGCGGCGGUCAAGGCGUCGGAGGCGCGCGGGGACCCGCCGCUGCUGCGGGCGGUGGAGAUCUCCCGCCUCGCCGCCGGGGAGCCCGGGGCCGGGGUCCCCAGCGCGGACCUCGCCGGGAUCCUCGUCUCCAACCUCUGCUUCGCGCACAACUCGCCCUCGCUCUGGAAGCUGCUCGACCAGGCCAUGUCGUCCCGCCUCCUCUGCCCGCUCCACGUCCUCGCGCUCCUCACCGCCAGGGUUCUGCCGCAGCGCCGGGCGCAGCCGGAGGCGUACCGGCUGUACCUCGAGCUGCUGAAGGGCAACGUCACGUCCUUCUCGCUGUCGCUCCUGGCCGGGCCUAAUCGUGACAAGAUAACAAAAUCCAUCGACGCUGCUCUGCAACUGUCUAAAAGCUACGGGGUUUCUGGGACGGACUUUGGCCAUGUUGUCAUCCUGUUUGUGUUGAUUGUUAUCACCAAACUGAUCGAUUGUGUGCUGGAGGAUUGCGGCAUUUCAUCUGGAAUGACACAGGAGCAGGAGAGUGUAUAUCCCACUGAAGGGCCCCAGCCCAUGGACAUGGAUGUCAAGGGGGUCUCCGCUGUGAAGCAAAAUGAGCAGCGUGAACAGUUGCGUCGAAAGAACACCGUCAUGUCUUUGGAAGUGUUGCAUAUCAUGGCCGCUGAUAGGAAGAUUCAAGCAUUUCUGCGCUUGAUAUGUCUUAACAUGCCUGACAAAUUCAGUGUUCUGAGCCAGAGGCUGACACUGAUUGAAGCUCACAAGAUGGCACUCGAGAGAUUAUUGCCUACUAGUCAUAAAAUUGAUGAUCUCGUGAUGUAUAUCUGGAGAGUGAGCAAUCUAGAUUACCAACCAAACAACAAACGGCUUGUGGGUGUUCUUGGUAACUUGAGAUCCAGCAAUUCCAUGCUGGGCCAACUUACAGGAGCUGGGAGAGCUGCCUGUUGGAUUAUAUUUGAUAUUUACAUGGAGAAUGCAAUGGAUGGGAGGCAUCUAGGCGGUAUAUCUGCUAUCGAGAUUAUAAAAGAAAUGUCCAAGACAGCCCAAGCAAUUAAUGAGGCAAGUUGGCAGGAAACUUUUAAAGCUCUUUGGAUUUCUGCCCUUCGUCUUGUACAGCGGGCUAGAGAACCUCUAGAGGGUCCAAUUCCUCAUCUAGACACAAGAUUAUGCAUGCUAUUAGCUCUUAUUCCACUAGCAAUUGCUGCAAUUCUCAAGGAAGAAACUGAUGCAUGUGGAGCUGAAGGAAACAAAAGUCUGCCCCGAAGACUAGGACUUGUAUCUUCUCUUCAGGAUUUGGUGCAAUAUCCAGGACUUCUUGUACCACCUUCAUCAUUGGUGAAUGUGGCCAAUGCUGCGGCUUCAAAAGCUGCAAUAUUUAGGGCCAACUGUAAGGUUGUUGGUGGCAACCCUAGCAUGAUUGGCCAGAGUGACUCUUCGACGAAAGCUGUUGGAAACAUGCUACAUCUUAUAGUUGAAGCCUGUAUUUCGAGGAAUUUGAUCGACACAACUGCUUACUUGUGGCCUGGUUAUGUUGUACUACCGGGGCAUUCGAAGGAUACAUCUUUACCCCAGGAAUCGCCAUGGGUAAACUUUAUGCAAGGAGCUCCACUAUCUGAUCCACUGAAAAAUGCUCUCAUUGCUACUCCUGCUUCAAGUGUUGCAGAACUGGAUAAACUGUACCACAUCGCAUUGAAUGGUUCAGAACAAGAAAAGUCAGCUGCAGCUAAAAUUGUGUGCGGUGCAUCACUUGUGCGUGGUUGGAAUAUUCAGGAACAUGUUGUCCGCAUGGUGGUCAAGUUAUUGUCGCCUCCUUUGCCCUCAGAUUCUUCAUUACAGGGGAGCAUGAGCCACUACCUUAGUCAGAAGUCUACCUUAAAUGCAAUCUUACUUGGUGUCUCAUAUGUCGAUGCUGUCCACAUUUUUUCUUUGUAUGGAAUGGUUCCAGAUGUUGCUGCAGCUUUAAUGCCACUCUGUGAAGCUUUUGGGUCAAUGCCACCCCCAUCUAACCACAGGUCUACCAUUGUUGAUGAAACGUCGGUUUACUCGGUCUUCUCUUGUGCAUUUCUUUGUCUUCUCCGGUUGUGGAAAUUUUACAAACCCCCUCAAGAGUAUUGUCUUGCUGGCCGUGGAGGCUCGGUAAGGUUGGAACUUACUCUGGACUAUUUGGUGUUAAUGCACAAUAGCCGUAUUGAGUUCCCAAAUUCAUCUACUACUAGUACUAACUCUGGCAGCAGUACGGGCUCGUUCGACGAGGUCCCAACCCAACCAAUUUAUAUUGACUCCUUCCCCAAGCUAAGGGCUUGGUACAUUCAGAAUCAAGCUUGCAUAGCCUCUACUCUUUCUGGACUUGGCAAUACAAACCCUGUCCAUCAAGUUGCAAACAAAAUUUUGAGUAUGAUUUGCCGGAAAAUUACUAAAAGCGGGGUAGUAUCUGGUAAUCUUUCAUCUGCUUCCAGUAGCAGUGUCAGUGGUUCCUCUCUAAGUACAUCUGACGAUUCUUACCAAAGGCCGACACUUCCAGCAUGGGAAUUUCUAGAAGCAGUUCCUUAUGUUCUUGAAGCUGUUCUUACAGCUUGUUCUCACGGGAGGAUUUCCAGCCGAGACAUGACUACCAGUUUAAGGGAUCUAGUGGACUUCUUACCAGCUUCUCUUGCUGCAAUUGUUAGUUACUUCUCAGCAGAAAUUACACGAGGAAUAUGGAAAGCUGUCCCUAUGAACGGAACUGAAUGGCCCAGCCCUGGUGCUGCUCUUCACUCCAUUGAAGAUGAAGUAAAGGAAAUCCUUGCAUCUGCUGGUGUUCAGAUUCACAGCUGCUAUCCACGUGGUGUGCCGCCAAUGCUUCCUUUACCAAUGGCUGCACUUGUCAGCUUGACAAUUACGUUUAAGCUGGAUAGGAGUCUCGACUACAUUCACGGGAUCAUUGGUCAGGCACUGGAGAACUGUGCAGGGGGUAGUUCCUGGCCAAGCAUGCCCAUCAUAGGGGCCUUGUGGACACAGAAAGUGCGAAGGUGGCAUGAUUUUAUUGUCCUCUCAUGUAUCCGGUCUCCGUUUGGUAGAGACAAAGAUGCUGUGGCACAGCUCAUCCAAAGUUGCUUCUCAUCCUUUCUGCGCUCAUCCCCAUCCAGUGGGUCUGAUAUUACUGCAAGCCGUGGAGUUGGAGCUUUAAUGGGAGAGUCAAUCACAGGCCACCAAGGUCUUCAUUUUCCCAUGGCCCCUGGAUUCAUCUACCUGAGAACUUGUCGAACAUUCCACGAUACUUACUUUGUGAGCGAGAUGAUCCUCAGGCAAGUGAUUGAUUGUUCCCACAAACUUGCAAAUGGCUGGUCUUCCAAUGGGCCUCCACAUGUAAAAUCAGGUCGACCGCCACUGUCUGGUGCUGCAUCCAUGGCUUCUCAGGUUGCCAUGCUUGGUGCGGGACUGCUGUGUGUUGCAGGGGGGCCUCUCCUGGUCCAGGUGCUAUAUGAGGAGACCUUGCCGACCCUACUGCUAUCAGCUCAGGAACAGAUGUUGGAAGACCCUGGACCAGUGGCCAGCAGACUUCAAGGUUAUGCCAUGGCCAACAUGCUUUUCUUCUGUGGGAGUCUACUCUGGGGCUCAGAAAAGACUUCUCCCAUCAUGAAACUGUCAUUCCUCUCGAGAAGACCGCGAGUGGUGGGCACCCACAUGGAUUUCAUUGCUGGUGUUCUGGAUGGGCACAUCCUGCUGGGGUGCGACCCAGGUACGUGGAAGGCGUAUGUAUCGUGCUUUGUAUUCCUUGUGGUGAAGUUUGUCCCGACAUGGCUACGGGACAUAAAACUGGACACGCUGAAGAAGAUUGCCGCGGGGCUUCGAAGUUGGCACGAGAACGAUCUUGCUCUGUCACUACUCGAGCGAGGAGGACCAAAGGCAAUCUCUGCUGUAGUUGAAACCUUGCUACAAUGA